Molecule: ribosomal RNA, 448 nt
Filed under: uncultured soil bacterium
Lineage: Bacteria
Description: bacterial SSU rRNA
Rfam family: Bacterial small subunit ribosomal RNA
Source: RNAcentral
AGGACGAACGCUGGCGGCGUGCUUAACACAUGCAAGUCGAACGCUGAUCCUUGUGCUUGCACUUGGUGAGGAGUGGCGAACGGGUGAGUAACACGUGAGUAACCCUGCCCUUCACUUCGGGAUAACUCCGGGAAACCGGGGCUAAUACUGGAUGUGACCUGGUGCCGCAUGGUGCUGGGUGGAAAGUUUUUCGGUGGGGGAUGGACUCGCGGCCUAUCAGCUUGUUGGUGAGGUAAUGGCUUACCAAGGCGACGACGGGUAGCCGGCCUGAGAGGGCGAGUCGGCCACACUGGGACGUGAGACACGGCCCAGACUCCUACGGGAGGCAGCAGUGGGGGAAUAUUGGCACAAGUGGGCGCAAGCCUGAUGCAGCGACGCCGCGUGAGGGAUGGACGGCCUUCGGUUGUAAACCUCUUCAGCUCUGAAGACGACGAGAGUGACGGUAGGA